UGGCUCAGGACGAACGCUGGCGGCGUGCCUAAUACAUGCAAGUCGAGCGCAGGAAGCUCACGGAACUCUUCGGAGGGAAGUGAAGGGAAUGAGCGGCGGACGGGUGAGUAACACGUAAGGAACCUGCCCCAAGGAUUGGGAUAACUCCGAGAAAUCGGAGCUAAUACCGAAUAGUUCUUCAGACCGCAUGGUCUGAUGAUGAAAGGCGCUCCGGCGUCACCUUGGGAUGGCCUUGCGGUGCAUUAGCUAGUUGGUGGGGUAAUGGCCCACCAAGGCGACGAUGCAUAGCCGACCUGAGAGGGUGAUCGGCCACACUGGGACUGAGACACGGCCCAGACUCCUACGGGAGGCAGCAGUAGGGAAUCUUCCACAAUGGACGAAAGUCUGAUGGAGCAACGCCGCGUGAGUGAUGAAGUUUUCGGAUCGUAAAACUCUGUUGUAAGGGAAGAACAAGUACGAGAGGUAAUGCUCGUACCUGAC
RNAcentral lists this ribosomal RNA (480 nucleotides) under Exiguobacterium sp. pj2. Its description in RNAcentral is "bacterial SSU rRNA". It matches the Rfam family "Bacterial small subunit ribosomal RNA", at positions 20 to 483 of the family's 1533-position model. The record is from RNAcentral. Lineage: Bacteria; Bacillati; Bacillota; Bacilli; Caryophanales.